AUAUCUCUCUGUACGGGAAGGAUGAGAAGCUUCGACUAAGGUUCGAUUCGAGCGCAGCGAGAAAGCGUUGCCGCAGGCAACGACCCGAAGGGCGAAGCGCGCAGCGCUGGGUCAUCCUUCCCCCACCACCA
Molecule: small RNA, 131 nt
Filed under: Salmonella enterica
Lineage: Bacteria; Pseudomonadati; Pseudomonadota; Gammaproteobacteria; Enterobacterales; Enterobacteriaceae
Also listed under: 2 other names
Description: RtT sRNA
Rfam family: RtT RNA
About the family: This family represents a bacterial cis-regulatory element known as RtT RNA. The exact function of RtT is unknown although it is thought that it may be involved in changing the cellular response in relation to amino acid starvation.
Source: RNAcentral